GUGCGAGGGAGCCGAUUCUUGCAAGGUGAUUUGACGCGACACACUCCUGCCGAGGCGCGCGAGAGGAUCCAACGGACAUGCAGGAUGUGGGUGAAUCGAGGGGCUGGUCGAUCCAGCCGAUGUGGGAGAUCCAUGUGUUCUAGGUUGACGGAUUGGAGCUAGGGUCGAUGGAUUAGUUCUCAUUUAAUUACUACAAAGUAGCAUUCAUCCUCCUAGGUGUUUGAUGUUUUCCUCGUGCACAUCUAAUUUUUGUCAGUUGUCAGGAGCACAAUUUUUGGUUCUCUUGAUAAUCAACUAACACUAGCAGCAAGGCAGUGCAAUUUUGUAGUUUCGGAUCAAUUAGACUAUUAAUCCAUGAAAUUCGAUAUGGUUAGAUGACAUUGAAUUAGAAUGUUCUUAUCAAUCUUGGUGUUGCAUCUACGACUUCACCAUAAUUAUUUUGUUGUCUCUCUUCAAUUGUAUUUGUUGAUCGCUAUGACUUUGUUGAAGGAAACAUGAAAGCAUGUGCCUUUCCUGAAUGUCUCCAUUAGACUAGAAUAGUCGACAAUCUUAUAGGAAGCAAUAGCAGCAAAUGUUCAGUUAGAAGAAAUACGAGAAGUAAGAAGGAGAAGAAAGAGUAGCAUGUACUUGAAUACUUGUAACCAAACAAACAAAUUGAUGUACUUGUCAAUAAGAAACUUGGUGGAACAUCAAUGCUUGCUCAGCUACAUCAACAAUGAAAGUCACAAUUCUCUUAUACGCUUCACUAAGCAUGUAAUAAACAUGUGAUGUAUUGUUUGAUGAGGGUCGCACACGUUCUAUGUUGUGGGCAUACCGAUAACCUACCCGCUAGACUUCAUGCUGCACGUCGGCGUGGUGGUACUUCUCCUCGAUUUAUUUCACAACUUUUUACCUCUUCGUGGUUUGAUAACAUGCUAAUGGUGUGAAAAUUAUCUGGAUGUGCGGGGCCUUUGGAUGGGAAUCAUAUUUGGUAUUAUGGUGUAGGUCCUGUUGUUCUUGGCCAUCACACUACACACUAACUGGCAGAAUAAGGUAUAUGCUCAAAGGUUGUAGUUUCACUAGGCCAUUUCCGGUUUAUCAGAUUAGGAUCAUGCAUGUAAGUAUAAAAUAAAUCACGCUCUCUCAAUUGAAUAUAUGUAUGUAUAGCAAAAUGAAGGAAUGUAUAGGGGCUACUGAUGUAGCCAACAUAUGCUUAGUAUGAAGGAAAGUGUGCGGGUGUACAAAAUAAACAUACCCUCCCUCAACUCCCAUGCUUUUUUUCUCUACAUGCAACACAUGAUCCCUUGCAUGCGCUUUUCACAAUGCUUUGUUACUAUGAAUAAAAUAUACUCUUGUUAAUUUCUACUUACUACUAGUUAACUAUAUAAACCGAAUGCCCAUCUCGUUGUAGUGAAUGGGGAAAAAUUGUGCCAAAGCCACCUUGUAAUUACUUGAAUUUUGGAAAAGAGAGAUAUAAAAAAGACACUAUUCUCACCCAUAUAGGAAAGAUACUAAUAUAAUAAUUUGUUAAUUCUUGUAUGAGAAGGUCUCUUUCCUGUACUUGUUUUUUCUUUGACGGAAAUCAAUAGGAAUUGUUUCCUACACGUUCAUGUGUUGGACUUCAUUUUUUCAGGAUCUUGGUAUAUUGUGUUGAUCGAGAAGGAUUGCAUGUUACGUAAUGUACUCAUAUGCAAAUAAACUCACUGUCAUACAUGUCCACAUGGCUGAUUAGAUCUUUGGGACCAUGGCUUCUCACAAAUUCUCAUAUUCUAAGAUUGCUCAAACAUAUGAGUUUUUUGCACGGACAAAUGAAAGAAAAUAGCGAGUCCAAGUUGAUCUAAGAUGUUCCGGUGAUCGCUUUUGUUCAUAACAUGGUUGACACAUUUUUUAAUAUGGAAGUUGAUGUCAGCUUGGGGAUCAAAGACUUGGUCUCUUCCAUAAUUUUGUUGUUGUAGUGAUCAAACAUUUGGUCUCAUAGGAACUUGACCAUCAUAUUUUGUAAGAGGCCACAGCCUCAAUGUUGACUUCUAUAUUUCCUUAAUGGCUGUAAGUAACUUGAGUGAAGAGAACUAAAAAAUCUUCUAUAUAUGUUGACUGAAUGCAUUGAUCAAUAAUAUCUUGUGAUUGGGUACUUAACCUGAAAUGGAUGUAUUGAUCAGUGGUAUCUUGUGAUGGA
Molecule: long non-coding RNA, 2155 nt
Organism: Hordeum vulgare subsp. vulgare (domesticated barley)
Lineage: Eukaryota; Viridiplantae; Streptophyta; Magnoliopsida; Poales; Poaceae
Exons: 3
Source: RefSeq, a predicted model, not a curated record